GACGAACGCUGGCGGCGUGCUUAACACAUGCAAGUCGAACGGAAAGGCCCUGCUUUUGUGGGGUGCUCGAGUGGCGAACGGGUGAGUAACACGUGAGUAACCUGCCCUUGACUUUGGGAUAACUUCAGGAAACUGGGGCUAAUACCGGAUAGGAGCUCCUGCUGCAUGGUGGGGGUCGGAAAGUUUCGGCGGUUGGGGAUGGACGCGCGGCUUAUCAGCUUGUUGGUGGGGUAGUGGCUUACCAAGGCUUUGACGGGUAGCCGGCCUGAGAGGGUGACCGGCCACCUUGGGACUGAGAUACGGCCCAGACUCCUACGGGAGGCAGCAGUGGGGAAUAUUGCACAAUGGGCGGAAGCCUGAUGCAGCAACGCCGCGUGCGGGAUGACGGCCUUCGGGUUGUAAACCGCUUUCGCCUGUGACGAAGCGUGAGUGACGGUAAUGGGUAAAGAAGCACCGGCUAACUACGUG
RNAcentral lists this ribosomal RNA (468 nucleotides) under uncultured bacterium. RNAcentral's name for it is "partial 16S ribosomal RNA". It matches the Rfam family "Bacterial small subunit ribosomal RNA", at positions 28 to 507 of the family's 1533-position model. The record is from RNAcentral.